Molecule: long non-coding RNA, 551 nt
Organism: Symphalangus syndactylus (siamang)
Lineage: Eukaryota; Metazoa; Chordata; Mammalia; Primates; Hylobatidae
Source: RefSeq, a predicted model, not a curated record
CAUCGGUGAUUGGCUUAGGGGUGGGGUUUGAGUAAAAGGCAGGAGGUGUUCUUCCCUGAUUGGCCUUCUCUUGGCGGGCUCCCGGGGUGGAGAACCGGGAACCGGGGGUGAAGAACCCGGAACCGGCGCCAUCUUACUGUGCCCAUGUUACCUGACAGAGAUCAGAAUGUCAUUCUGGGAGACCUUUGCUAGGCUGUUCUGAAAAGGCUGUUUUUACCUGAACGAUUAGAAUUUAGGGAAAUUUCAGGUAUGUGGAACCACUAGCUUUUACUUCCUAAUGUUACCAAGUUGGGAGCAGUUGUUUCAAGGAAGCCUCUCUGCUGCCAUACAGGAUAGAAGCAUGUUGAAAAAGUUAACGGUAAAUGUUCAUGAAAACAAAUGGGACAGUGCUGAGAAAAGCAUAUCUCUAUGAGAAAUGUACUUCCUGAAGGGCAUGUUCAAAGGAAAAUUCAAUGAAAUGUUUUUGGAAAAUAAAAAAAUUAUUAUUAUGAGAUUUGAGCAAAAUAGUGUAACCCUGCUUAUUGGAAAUGAUUAGCGCUUAAAAAUGUAUC